RNAcentral lists this ribosomal RNA (508 nucleotides) under Glomus sp. Glo8. Its description in RNAcentral is "SSU rRNA". It matches the Rfam family "Eukaryotic small subunit ribosomal RNA", at positions 569 to 1078 of the family's 1831-position model. Lineage: Eukaryota; Fungi; Glomeromycota; Glomeromycetes; Glomerales; Glomeraceae. The record is from RNAcentral.
AGCAGCCGCGGUAAUUCCAGCUCCAAUAGCGUAUAUUAAAGUUGUUGCAGUUAAAAAGCUCGUAGUUGAAUUUCGGGGUUAGUAGGUUGGUCAUGCCUCUGGUAUGUACUGGUCUCACUGAUUCCUCCUUCCUGAUGAGCCGUAAUGCCAUUAAUUUGGUGUUGCGGGGAAUUUGGACUGUUACUUUGAAAAAAUUAGAGUGUUUAAAGCAAGCUAACGCUUGAAUACAUUAGCAUGGAAUAAUGAAAUAGGACGUUCGAUCCUAUUUUGUUGGUUUCUAGGGUUGACGUAAUGAUUAAUAGGGAUAGUUGGGGGCAUUAGUAUUCAAUUGUCAGAGGUGAAAUUCUUGGAUUUAUUGAAGACUAACUACUGCGAAAGCAUUUGCCAAGGAUGUUUUCAUUAAUCAAGAACGAAAGUUAGGGGAUCGAAGACGAUCAGAUACCGUCGUAGUCUUAACCAUAAACUAUGCCGACUAGGGAUCGGAUGAUGUUAAUUUUUUAAUGACUCA